RNAcentral lists this ribosomal RNA (260 nucleotides) under uncultured Erysipelothrix sp. Its description in RNAcentral is "partial 16S ribosomal RNA". It matches the Rfam family "Bacterial small subunit ribosomal RNA", at positions 1118 to 1382 of the family's 1533-position model. Lineage: Bacteria; Bacillati; Bacillota; Erysipelotrichia; Erysipelotrichales; Erysipelotrichaceae. The record is from RNAcentral.
CCAUCAUUCAGUUGGGGACUCUAGAGAGACUGCCGGUGAUAACCGGAGAAGUGGGGAUGACGUCAAAUCAUCAUGCCCCUUAUGGCCUGGGCUACAAACGUAAUACAAUGGCGUAUACAAAGGGAUGCGAAAGGGCGACCUGGAGCAAAACUCACAAAGUACGUCUCAGUUCAGAUUGGAGUCUGCAACUCGACUCCAUGAAGGCGGAAUCGCUAGUAAUCGCGGAUCAGCAUGCCGCGGUGAAUACGUUCUCGGGGUUU